GUUUACUUUGAACAAAUCAGAGUGCUUCAAACAGGCGUUUUCGCUUGAAUGAUCGUGCAUGGAAUAAUAGAAAACGAUUUCGGUUCAGUUUUAUUGGUUUUACGGACUGAGAUAAUGGUUAACAGAGACAAACGGGGGCAUUUGUAUGGCCCCGUGAGAGGUGAAAUUCUUGGACCGUGGCCAGACAAACUACAGCGAAAGCAUUUGCCAAGAAUGUCUUCAUUAAUCAAGAACGAAAGUCAGAGGUUCGAAGGCGAUCAGAUACCGCCCUAGUUCUGACCGUAAACGAUGCCAACUAGCGAUCCGCCGAUGGAAAUUAUAUUGCCUUGGUGGGGAGCUUCCCAGAAACGAAAGUCUUCCGGUUCCGGGGGAAGUAUGGUUGCAAAGCUGAAACUUAAAGGAAUUGACGGAAGGGCACCACCAGGAGUGGAGCCUGCGGCUUAAUUUGACUCAACACGGGGAAACUCACCCGGCCCGGACACUGUGAGGAUUGACAGAUUGAUAGCUUUUUCAUGAUUCAGUGGAUGGUGGUGCAUGGCCGUUCUUAGUUCGUGGAGUGAUUUGUCUGGUUUAUUCCGAUAACGAGCGAGACUCUAACCUACUAAAUAGCUGGUACAUAAUUUUAGUGUAUACAGCUUCUUAGAGGGAUUUGCGGUGUUCAGCCGAAAGAAAUUGAGCAAUAACAGGUCUGUGAUGCCCUUAGAUGUCCGGGGCUGCACGCGCGCUACACUGGCAAAAUCAACGUGCUUGUCCUACCCCGAAAGGGGCGGGUAAACCAUUGAAAAUUUGCCGUGAUUGGGAUCGGAAAUUGCAAUUAUUUUCCGUGAACGAGGAAUUCCAAGUAAGUGCGAGUCAUCAGCUCGCGUUGAUUACGUCCCUGCCCUUUGUACACACCGCCCGUCGCUGCCCGGGACUGAGCCAUUUCGAGAAAUUUGGGGACCGUUGAUUUAAUUUUUCUAAAUUACUUUGAUGGAAACCAAUUUAAUCGCAGUGGCUUGAACCGGGCAAAAGUCGUAACAAGGUAGCUGUAGGUGAACCUGCUGCUG
RNAcentral lists this ribosomal RNA (1046 nucleotides) under Meloidogyne arenaria. RNAcentral's name for it is "SSU rRNA". It matches the Rfam family "Eukaryotic small subunit ribosomal RNA", at positions 750 to 1823 of the family's 1831-position model. The record is from RNAcentral. Lineage: Eukaryota; Metazoa; Nematoda; Chromadorea; Rhabditida; Meloidogynidae.